GUAUAUGUUACGGAAUGUAUGGUAUGUAUUAAUUUGUGGAUGUUCAUCAUCCAUUUCGUGUGAUAUGUUACGAAUGGCAAUUCAUAUGAUAUGUUACGAACUGCAAUUCGUACAAUACGUUACACAUUUUCCAAAUAUAAUAUAUGUUACAAAUUUGCAAACAUAUAUGUUACGAAUUCCAAUUUGUUGUGGCUAAGGUUAGCUAGGUUGCUAGCGCUAACGUUAGCUAGCUGGCUAACGUUAGUUAGGCUAAUGGUUAUGUUAAAGGGUUAGGGGAAAGGUUAGCUAACAUGCUAUGUAGUUACAAAGUAGCUAAAAAUUAGUAUGUAGCUGCUAAAAUUGUCUGUGAUGAGAUUCAAACACACAACUUUUGGGUUGCUAGACAUUUGUGUUAUUCACCCAGACCAACCAGCCUCCUUUCGAUUUUGCCUUAAUGUAACUUCUAUCUUAUGUUACAUUUGGUAUGGUUACAUAUCAUACUAUGUUACUUCUAGUCUAUUAGACCCAUUCUCAGCAACAAAAGAGUGAUCAAAUGAAGAUGUCCUAAAAUGGUAAAUGUGACGUAGUACAGUAGGGCUCACACACACGUGCUCCAACACAUACCUUUAUUGGUAAACAAACAGUCAACUUUAUUAAUAUUGUCACUGUAUUCAACCUUAACAGCAACGAUUCCAAAUGCGUAAUGGCCAACAAAUAAUCCAGGGCAAACAACGGCAGAAUAAAAAAAUUGGGUUUGGCUGGCAGGGCCAGGCUUUUGCCGAGAUACACGUCCAGGCUUUUUUUUAGCAUCCCGUACAGUAACUUGUUUUUAGCCCCAUUAUGAUCUAUGAUGUUCACAGACAUAGGCAAGCACAUUUUCUGUGCCAAUUCAAUAGUUAUUCAUAGUAGUAGUGGCAUCCCACCUUUUCCGUAGGCAGUUCUAUUUGCUCCACAUAGUCUCCAGUCAAUGUUGUCUCUGCAAAUACUGUCAACAUGUUGAGUCAAUCACCCCAAAAAACUUUCUCAUCGAUGCUUCUUCCUGAGGAUUUGAUAAUCUGAGCAUGAAUUAACCUAUUUCAGUGUGGAAUCAUUUACAAUUAGUAAGACUAACAAAGGUGCCAUUCAAAUGGUAAUUUCCAUUAGAAGCUGUUCAAUAAAUGAAUAUUGAUAUAACUAUCUAAUGUACUUUUAAAGUUCCCUUUGUCUUGGUCGGGAGGAGGGGAUUCAUUUUACAAGCAUUGAAAUUACGUCAUGUUAUUGUAUAUAAACUGUUGCUCGUGGGAGCGCGCUCCGA
This is a long non-coding RNA of Oncorhynchus tshawytscha (Chinook salmon), 1273 nucleotides long. NCBI's taxonomy places the organism in Eukaryota, Metazoa, Chordata, Actinopteri, Salmoniformes, Salmonidae. The record is from Ensembl.